Molecule: ribosomal RNA, 796 nt
Filed under: uncultured bacterium
Lineage: Bacteria
Description: bacterial SSU rRNA
Rfam family: Bacterial small subunit ribosomal RNA
Source: RNAcentral
GGUUUGAUCCUGGCUCAGAUUGAACGCUGGCGGCAGGCCUAACACAUGCAAGUCGAGCGGAUGAAAGGGAGCUUGCUCCUGGAUUCAGCGGCGGACGGGUGAGUAAUGCCUAGGAAUCUGCCUGGUAGUGGGGGAUAACGUCCGGAAACGGGCGCUAAUACCGCAUACGUCCUGAGGGAGAAAGUGGGGGAUCUUCGGACCUCACGCUAUCAGAUGAGCCUAGGUCGGAUUAGCUAGUUGGUGGGGUAAAGGCCUACCAAGGCGACGAUCCGUAACUGGUCUGAGAGGAUGAUCAGUCACACUGGAACUGAGACACGGUCCAGACUCCUACGGGAGGCAGCAGUGGGGAAUAUUGGACAAUGGGCGAAAGCCUGAUCCAGCCAUGCCGCGUGUGUGAAGAAGGUCUUCGGAUUGUAAAGCACUUUAAGUUGGGAGGAAGGGCAGUAAGUUAAUACCUUGCUGUUUUGACGUUACCAACAGAAUAAGCACCGGCUAACUUCGUGCCAGCAGCCGCGGUAAUACGAAGGGUGCAAGCGUUAAUCGGAAUUACUGGGCGUAAAGCGCGCGUAGGUGGUUCAGCAAGUUGGAUGUGAAAUCCCCGGGCUCAACCUGGGAAUUGCAUCCAAAACUACUGAGCUAGAGUACGGUAGAGGGUGGUGGAAUUUCCUGUGUAGCGGUGAAAUGCGUAGAUAUAGGAAGGAACACCAGUGGCGAAGGCGACCACCUGGACUGAUACUGACACUGAGGUGCGAAAGCGUGGGGAGCAAACAGGAUUAGAUACCCUGGUAGUCCACGC